GUGACGCACGCGGGGUGGGCGUCGGUGCUGGAGGGCGUGUCCGCCGGCGUGCCCAUGGCGUGCCGCCCCUUCUUCACCGACCAGAAGAUGAACGCGCAGCUGGUGGCGCAAGUCUGGGGUUUCGGCGUGGUCUUGGAGGAGCCCAUGACGUGCGAGGCCGUGGCGGCGGCGGUACGGUCGCUCCUCGCCGGGGAUCAAGGCAUCCGGAUGUGGGAAAAGAUGCAAGAGAUGAGGGGCAUGGCGGCCAAUGCUUUCGCCGCCGAUGGCGGUAGCAGGAAGAACUUAGAUAAGCUUGUCAAGAUAGUAUGUCGACAACUGUAA
This 321-nucleotide ribosomal RNA is filed under the name Triticum aestivum (bread wheat). RNAcentral describes it as "partial small subunit ribosomal RNA". Lineage: Eukaryota; Viridiplantae; Streptophyta; Magnoliopsida; Poales; Poaceae. The record is from RNAcentral.